RNAcentral lists this ribosomal RNA (1471 nucleotides) under metagenome. RNAcentral describes it as "bacterial SSU rRNA". It matches the Rfam family "Bacterial small subunit ribosomal RNA". The record is from RNAcentral.
AGAGUUUGAUCCUGGCUCAGGACGAACGCUGGCGGCACGCUUAACACAUGCAAGUCGAACGAGAGAAGAGGAGCUUGCUUUUCUGAUCUAGUGGCGGACGGGUGAGUAACACGUGAGCAAUCUGCCUUUCAGAGGGGGGAUACCGAUUGGAAACGAUCGUUAAUACCGCAUAACAUAAUUGAACCGCAUGAUUUGAUUAUCAAAGAUUUAUCGCUGAAAGAUGAGCUCGCGUCUGAUUAGCUAGUUGGUAAGGUAACGGCUUACCAAGGCGACGAUCAGUAGCCGGACUGAGAGGUUGAUCGGCCACAUUGGGACUGAGACACGGCCCAGACUCCUACGGGAGGCAGCAGUGGGGAAUAUUGCACAAUGGAGGAAACUCUGAUGCAGCGAUGCCGCGUGAGGGAAGAAGGUUUUAGGAUUGUAAACCUCUGUCUUCAGGGACGAAAAAAGACGGUACCUGAGGAGGAAGCUCCGGCUAACUACGUGCCAGCAGCCGCGGUAAUACGUAGGGAGCGAGCGUUGUCCGGAAUUACUGGGUGUAAAGGGAGCGUAGGCGGGAUCGCAAGUCAGAUGUGAAAACUAUGGGCUUAACCCAUAAACUGCAUUUGAAACUGUGGUUCUUGAGUGAAGUAGAGGUAAGCGGAAUUCCUAGUGUAGCGGUGAAAUGCGUAGAUAUUAGGAGGAACAUCAGUGGCGAAGGCGGCUUACUGGGCUUUAACUGACGCUGAGGCUCGAAAGCGUGGGGAGCAAACAGGAUUAGAUACCCUGGUAGUCCACGCCGUAAACGAUGAUUACUAGGUGUGGGGGGACUGACCCCUUCCGUGCCGCAGCAAACGCAAUAAGUAAUCCACCUGGGGAGUACGACCGCAAGGUUGAAACUCAAAGGAAUUGACGGGGGCCCGCACAAGCAGUGGAGUAUGUGGAUUAAUUCGAAGCAACGCGAAGAACCUUACCAGGUCUUGACAUCGUAUGCAUAGCUCAGAGAUGAGUGAAAUCUCUUCGGAGACAUAUAGACAGGCGGUGCAUGGUUGUCGUCAGCUCGUGUCGUGAGAUGUUGGGUUAAGUCCCGCAACGAGCGCAACCCUUACUGUUAGUUGCUACGCAAGAGCACUCUAGCAGGACUGCCGUUGACAAAACGGAGGAAGGUGGGGAUGACGUCAAAUCAUCAUGCCCCUUAUGACCUGGUCCUCACACGUACUACAAUGGCUGUCAACAGAGGGAAGCAAAGCCGCGAGGUGGAGCGAACCCCUAAAAGCAGUCUUAGUUCGGAUUGUAGGCUGCAACCCGCCUACAUGAAGUCGGAAUUGCUAGUAAUCGCAGAUCAGCAUGCUGCGGUGAAUACGUUCCCGGGCCUUGUACACACCGCCCGUCACGCCAUGGGAGUCGGUAACACCCGAAGCCUGUAGUCUAACCGCAAGGAGGACGCAGUCGAAGGUGGGAUUGAUGACUGGGGUGAAGUCGUAACAAGGUA